GUCAUAACAUCUACCUGCAUGCCAAAUUUCAGUCCGAUCCGUCCAGUGGUUUGGGCUGUGCGUUGAUAGAUCACUAUGUCAGUCAAAGGAGACAGCACGACGCAGGAGAACGGUGUAGAGAGAGACAAAAGAUGUGUGAUUUCUCACCGGAAACGGGAUUGGUAACCAAGAGAACAAAAAAGAAAUCGAGAGCGACAGAAAAAGAGUUGGGUGGAUGAUAGGCAGUGGCGGGACCUACAUGGAGAAGAAAGGCGUUGGGCAGAGGAGCCUGGAGUCUUGGAGGAGGCCUAUGUCUUGGAACAAGCUGAUGAUCUUCAGCACAGAGGCUAUAAAUA
Achroia grisella is the source of this 335-nucleotide long non-coding RNA. RefSeq lists it as uncharacterized. NCBI's taxonomy places the organism in Eukaryota, Metazoa, Arthropoda, Insecta, Lepidoptera, Pyralidae. The record is from RefSeq and is a predicted model, not a curated record. The transcript has 3 exons.